UGCAGGUGUCGAGCGGCCGGCGGGCGCGCAAAGCCGAGGCGAUGCGCGUCUGCAGGAAAGUCCGGGCACCGCAGGGCAGGGUGCCGGAUAACGUCCGGAGUGCCGGCGCUGACCGGCAUAUGGAAAGUGCCACAGAAAAGAAAACUCCCAAGGCAACCGGUUGUAGCCGCGUUGCCCGGAAAAGCUGAAACGGUGGUGUAAGAGACCACCAGAUCCGCCGAGAGGCGGAUGCUGGGUAAACCCCACCCGGUGCAAGGCAGAGGAGGGCCCGCAUUCCGUUGCCCGCGGGGGCUCUCCGCAGGACGCCGCUUGAACUCCGGCGCAAGCCGGAGUCCAGACAGAUGGCCGCAUAAAACAGAACCCGGCUUACGGACACCUGCUGAGG
This 385-nucleotide RNase P RNA is filed under the name Armatimonadota bacterium. RNAcentral's name for it is "Armatimonadetes bacterium (sediment metagenome) RNase P RNA component class A". It matches the Rfam family "Bacterial RNase P class A". From Rfam's summary of the family: Ribonuclease P (RNase P) is a ubiquitous endoribonuclease, found in archaea, bacteria and eukarya as well as chloroplasts and mitochondria. Its best characterised activity is the generation of mature 5'-ends of tRNAs by cleaving the 5'-leader elements of precursor-tRNAs. Lineage: Bacteria; Bacillati; Armatimonadota. The record is from RNAcentral.